Molecule: long non-coding RNA, 480 nt
Organism: Exaiptasia diaphana
Lineage: Eukaryota; Metazoa; Cnidaria; Anthozoa; Actiniaria; Aiptasiidae
Exons: 3
Source: RefSeq, a predicted model, not a curated record
CCAGAGGAAGUUCCACUUCAAGAAAUUGUUUUUAAAAACAUUCAAAAUUUUACUCGUGAAGAUUUUGACCAGGCUAAGAAAGACCUUGAAAGCUCAAAAGGUGGUGAAGUAAAGGGAUUCAAGUAUACGUACUUUUCAAGCUACAGUCCUGAGAAAAAUUGCAAAUAUGAACAAGCAAAGCAACAAAAAGCUCAAAAUGGCCAACAAAUUUUACAAAACAAAAGUAAAGAGGAAAAAGAAGCAAUACGUGCACCGGCCUUUUUACCAGUCAAUUUCAACGAGUCUACAGAUGAGUUGAAACACGGUCCAUCUACUACUAAAUUUAAGCUUACUGAUGAAGAACGACACGACACAUGUUCAGUUCAAAAAAAAUCUGAAGCCGUCCGAAGUCCAACCCAAAAAAACCUCAAGCCAAUUAGUCUCAAAAGACUACCAACAAAUGAGGAAGAUGUAGCAGAUGAGGACGCAAGUUAUUUGAUA